RNAcentral lists this ribosomal RNA (301 nucleotides) under uncultured bacterium. RNAcentral describes it as "partial 16S ribosomal RNA". It matches the Rfam family "Bacterial small subunit ribosomal RNA", at positions 509 to 807 of the family's 1533-position model. The record is from RNAcentral.
CAGCAGCCGCGGGAAAACGUAGGUGGCAUGCGUUGUCCGGAAUUAUUGGGCGUAAAGGGCUCGCAGGCGGUUUCUUAAGUCUGAUGUGAAAGCCCCCGGCUCAACCGGGGAGGGUCGUUGGAAACUGGGAAACUUGAGUGCAGAAGAGGAGAGUGGAAUUCCACGUGUAGCGGCGAAAUGCGUAGAGAUGUGGAGGAACACCAGUGGCGAAGGCGACUCUCUGGUCUGUAACUGACGCUGAGGAGCGAAAGCGUGGGGAGCGAACAGGAUUAGAUACCCGCGUAGUCCCUGUCUCUUAUAC